This 437-nucleotide ribosomal RNA is filed under the name uncultured bacterium. RNAcentral's name for it is "SSU rRNA". It matches the Rfam family "Bacterial small subunit ribosomal RNA", at positions 26 to 518 of the family's 1533-position model. The record is from RNAcentral.
AGAAUGAACGCUAGCGAUAUGCUUAACACAUGCAAGUUGAACGUUGUUUUCGAAUCAGAAUGAGAACAAAGUAGCGAACGGGUGCGUAACACGUGGGAAUCUGCCGAACAGUUUGGGCCAAAUCCCGAAUGAAUAAAAGCUAAAAAGCGCUGUUUGAUGAGCCCACGUAGUAUUAGGUAGUUGGUUAGGUAAAAGCUGACCAAGCCUACGAUGCUUAGCUGGUCUUUUCGGAUGAUCAGCCACACUGGGACUGAGACACGGCCCAGACUCCUACGGGAGGCAGCAGUGGGGAAUCUUGGACAAUGGGCGAAAGCCUGAUCCGGCAAUAUGGCGUGAGUGAAGAAGGGCAACGCAGCUUGUAAAACUCUUUCAUCGAGUGUGCGAUUGUGACAAGACUCGAAUAAGAAGCCCCGGCUAACUCCGUGCCCAGCAGCCGC